GUUUCCUUUAGACUUGGAAUUGCAUCUAGGAUUGUAAAAGUACAUGGGACCAAGAAGUUUUGUGGGUUUUUGAAUUUGUUACCUACCUCUCACUAAAUUAGCAAAGUGUAGUAUGAGUUAUUGCUCUGAAAAUAGCCUUCACUGCGUUAGUAAUACUAACUAAGGGAAUGUACAAUUUAUGCAGCCAGCAUUAGUCUGUUGGCAUGUAUCUUAACAUGGUGCACUGUAUUCUGUAAAAUAAUACAACCAAUUUGCAUCCUCAUGCUCUCUUCUCUUGGUUCUUGAUGAGCACACCCUAC
Pelobates cultripes (western spadefoot toad) is the source of this 299-nucleotide non-coding RNA. NCBI's taxonomy places the organism in Eukaryota, Metazoa, Chordata, Amphibia, Anura, Pelobatidae. The record is from the annotation of a GenBank genome assembly.